RNAcentral lists this long non-coding RNA (639 nucleotides) under Homo sapiens (human). RNAcentral's name for it is "long non-coding RNA NONHSAT214661". The record is from RNAcentral. Lineage: Eukaryota; Metazoa; Chordata; Mammalia; Primates; Hominidae.
GUGAUUUUAUUUCUUAGAAGUCAAGUAAAAAAAAUUACUGGCCAACAUCUAAAAGAGCUUUUUUCUAUUUUAUAGUACAUAUGUGCAAUAGCAAACAGAAGUCUUGCAGUAAAGUGAGUUUCCUAAGAAGUGAGAAUGUAACAUAUAGAGGAGUCACAGUGCAUAAAGCACAAUAAGUAUAAAUCAGCCACAAAGCUCAAGGUCUGCAUAGAAAUUGUUUAUAGUAACCCUGCUAUAAAGCCAACAAAAAAGAAACAGUUUUAAUUUAUAAGACAUUUAAGUUAAUGUUGUUAUACAGGGUCAUUUAACUAAGAGUCACAGCUUCAAGGUAUACUGUUAGUCUGUACUAUGUAUUUACAAUUUACUUGCAAGAAAUAUAAAAUGUCCUCUGUAUCUGCAGGAUCAAGAGGAUAUAUAGCACUAUGAGAUACAUGUCCUGAAAGUUGUAAAAGAAAGCUAUCUUCUACCUGAAGUUGAGAUUUAGAACAUAGGCUACAUUUACAGACAUUUUUACUUUUAGAAUUUGGCUGAAUAUUCCAGAAUUGAUUGUACAGAAGUGAGGGAAACAAGACAUUGAAAUAUUUCCCUGCAAAGAAAAACUGGAGAGCAGUGUACCUUAAACCUAAAUAAUAAAAGCUU